GCCGGGCUGGGCUCAGUGGCAGAGCGCUUGCCUGGCCUGUAUGAGGCCCUGGGUUCGAUUCCCAGCACUGCA
Ictidomys tridecemlineatus (thirteen-lined ground squirrel) is the source of this 72-nucleotide non-coding RNA. Lineage: Eukaryota; Metazoa; Chordata; Mammalia; Rodentia; Sciuridae. The record is from Rfam.